This 22-nucleotide non-coding RNA is filed under the name Arabidopsis thaliana (thale cress). The record is from RNAcentral. Lineage: Eukaryota; Viridiplantae; Streptophyta; Magnoliopsida; Brassicales; Brassicaceae.
UUGGAUGCAAUGGCUACCUUGG